RNAcentral lists this ribosomal RNA (253 nucleotides) under uncultured bacterium. RNAcentral describes it as "partial 16S ribosomal RNA". It matches the Rfam family "Bacterial small subunit ribosomal RNA", at positions 524 to 776 of the family's 1533-position model. The record is from RNAcentral.
UACAGAGGGUGCGAGCGUUAAUCGGAAUUACUGGGCGUAAAGGGCGCGUAGGUGGUUAUUUAAGUUGACUGUGAAAUACCCGGGCUUAACCUGGGGAGGUCAGUCAAGACUGGAUGACUAGAGUAGGAUAGAGGGAAGUGGAAUUUCCGGUGUAGCGGUGAAAUGCGUAGAUAUCGGAAGGAACACCAGUGGCGAAGGCGGCUUCCUGGGUCCAUACUGACGCUGAGGCGCGAAAGCUAGGGGAGCGAACAGG